RNAcentral lists this ribosomal RNA (307 nucleotides) under Xenosporidesmium olivaceoconidium. RNAcentral describes it as "eukaryotic LSU rRNA". The stretch from base 15 to 166 matches the Rfam family "5.8S ribosomal RNA". The record is from RNAcentral. Lineage: Eukaryota; Fungi; Ascomycota; Sordariomycetes.
AAAAAAAAAAAUUAAAACCUCAACAACGGAUCUCUUGGUUACCGCAUCGAUGAAGAACGCGGCGAGCUGCGAUACGUGAUGCGAAUCGCACAGCAAUGACACAUCGAGUUUUUGAACGCACAUUGCACUCUAUAGUAUUCUAUUGAGUCUGUCUGUUCGAGCGUCGUUUCAACCCUCAGGCUUGCCUGGUUGUGGAGAUGGAAGCAAUCCUCUCCGAAGUUUAUUGACGGUACCCACGGCACCAGAUGCAGUCACGCUUCGUCUGUAGCCCGAAGGCCACUUGUCUCCUUUCGAUUCAGAAACAUGA